This 449-nucleotide ribosomal RNA is filed under the name uncultured bacterium. RNAcentral describes it as "bacterial SSU rRNA". It matches the Rfam family "Bacterial small subunit ribosomal RNA", at positions 28 to 472 of the family's 1533-position model. The record is from RNAcentral.
GACGAACGCUGGCGGCGUGCUUAACACAUGCAAGUCGAGCGGUAAGGCCCUUUCGGGGGUACACGAGCGGCGAACGGGUGAGUAACACGUGGGUGACCUGCCCUCAGCUCUGGGAUAAGCCUGGGAAACCGGGUCUAAUACUGGAUAUGACUCCAUGACGCAUGUUGUGGGGUGGAAAGCCUUGUGCGGCUGAGGAUGGGCCCGCGGCCUAUCAGCUUGUUGGUGGGGUGAUGGCCUACCAAGGCGACGACGGGUAGCCGGCCUGAGAGGGCGACCGGCCACACUGGGACUGAGACACGGCCCAGACUCCUACGGGAGGCAGCAGUGGGGAAUCUUGCGCAAUGGGCGAAAGCCUGAUGGUGCGACGCCGCGUGAGGGAUGAAGGUCUUCGGAUUGUAAACCUCUGUCACCGGGGAAGAAACGCUUUGAGUAAAUAGUUCAAAGCCUGA